This 287-nucleotide long non-coding RNA is filed under the name Lepisosteus oculatus (spotted gar). Its description in RNAcentral is "lncRNA (ENSLOCG00000021737.1)". Lineage: Eukaryota; Metazoa; Chordata; Actinopteri; Semionotiformes; Lepisosteidae. The record is from RNAcentral.
UAAACCUGGUUGAAAUGUCAAAUUCAAGCAAGUCUAGGCAUGAGUAAUAAACAUGAUCUUGGAACAUCUGCUGUUUUCAAAGUCAUAAGAUCAUAUCUCUGUAACAAUAUCCUUGGCUAACUUCAGAAAACAGAGGAAUAUUGACAUAACAGGACCAGGUAAGAUUGCAUUGCAUUUGAUAAUCAUGUUACAAAAUGUUUCAUCCAAUGGGAGACUAGUAUUUCAUUUAGCAGUUGCAUGAAAAUCACAACUUUUGUAUAUAAAUAUUAUCUUAAUAUUCUAUUUUU